This 511-nucleotide long non-coding RNA is filed under the name Serinus canaria (Common canary). RNAcentral describes it as "lncRNA (ENSSCAG00000010801.1)". The record is from RNAcentral. Lineage: Eukaryota; Metazoa; Chordata; Aves; Passeriformes; Fringillidae.
UUCAGUCCCCACCUGUUCCACAUCACCAACUCCUGGCCAGGGUGCAGCAACAGCUUUGGCUUCAGGACAUUGGUGUGAACUUGUGCCAGCCUCCCGUUGUGCCACUCUGGCUGAGGAGAGCACUCAAAGAAGCCAUUUGAACACCAAGUAUUGGAUAUUCUGUAUUUGGAUGAGCCAGCUUUACUCUGCCAUCCCUUUGGAGCUCCCUGGGCUUAUAGACAACAUGGAAAAUUAUUCUCAGUUCCCUUUUCAGAUCCAGUGUUUUCCUGGUUUGCUAAAGAGCAGAUUUGUUCUUUGAGUUUUUCAUAUCCUUCCUGUGCCCUGAUGUUAAAAACUCUGGAGAGGCAUUGCUUCAUGAUGAUGUCAGUGUCAGGCUUGGUCACCUGCGCUCUGCUGAAAAUAGAUCCAUCAGGAGUUAAUUAGGAUGAACUUCUGUGGGAUGAGUCCAAGGUAUGCAUACUUAAAACUUUGUGACAUAAGCAAUGGAGCAGCACAAUUCCUAGAGUAUGAG